This 1448-nucleotide long non-coding RNA is filed under the name Marmota monax (woodchuck). Lineage: Eukaryota; Metazoa; Chordata; Mammalia; Rodentia; Sciuridae. The record is from RNAcentral.
CACAAAUGCAACCUGGGGUUUUCUUCUUCAUUUUUCCAAUUCCAGCUGCAGCCCUUGGAGUGUUCCACAUUCCACCCUUGGAGUGUCCACUUUCUGUUCAUAAUUUCCUCUCAGAUUGGAAAGAACUCCUCUGUUCCCUGAAGACCCGAGGGAUCCGAGUCCGCUCAGUGCUGCCUCCUUCUAAGGCCUGCCCAUCGUCCAUAAGACGCACAGAGCUCCUGACCCUCAGGCUCUGUGGGGGGUUCUCAAUAGAUAAAUAUGUAAGUAAAGUGUGAGCCUCAUCUUUGACAGAAACCUUUGAGUUUAACUCGCCUUCUUUACUACCUACCGUCUGCUCUGUGUUUUAGUCCUGCCUUAAUUGUCUGAAGAAGGAGGGAGUUCUGGAAAGGACACUGGACUCAGCCACUGCACCUGGUCCCAGCCCAGCUCGACCAGCGGUCUCACCUGGCUGCCCAGUGCUGAGAGCCUGCACCUUCUCAUCCAGGAGGUAGCUUCACAAAGUGCAAUAGGAUUGGAUAAGGCCAUUGAUAUAAAAUGCCUUCUUCGUUGCAGAAACAGUGACACUUUUCCUUUCUCACUUGCUGCUCAAGGUCAGGGGUGGGAGUCAACCGUUCAUUCACAGACUUGCACACGCCAUUUCUGGUGCACACUUGGACACUCCAUUAACUAAAAGGCGGAUGUUGGGGUGGGAAGGAGAGGGACACGUGUUAUACUACAGGGAGAUUCUAUCAGGCUUAACGACCAAUUUUGCUGCUGUAGUUAUUUCUGCAGAAAGCAUGAGAAAUUCCCUCGGAUUUCUACAACAAGGUGUAAGAAGGAAGGAGACGUCUUGGUAGGCUGGACUCCUCGUGCCAACGAGGUCUCCCGCAGGAAGAGGAGGGCAUUGCUGCUUCUCCAAGCUGGGCCUUGGAAUUACAGAAAUGCGAUUUCCAAAGUCCAGGUGAGGAAAUGAAGGCCCCGAGAAGAAACUGAGUAGGCCAAGCUGCAGAGAGUUCAAGAGACAAAAUUCUAGGCAUCUGGGCUCUGGCUCCCGGCCCAGGGCCCCUUCACCCUCACACUUCUGUCCCUGCCCUUUGCCACCUGUGCCCGCUUCCUCCAUCCCAAGGGCAACAGCGUUCCCAGCUGCCCUCAGCCAGCACUGUCGGUGGUGAUUCAUGGAUUAGAAGCUCUCUUUAUUUUUUGGUCCUGAGCCACUUUAAAUGUGAUUCACAAGGUUACUUUUGAAAAAGAAUGCAAGAUACAAAUAAAAAUGGCUCAUGGACUGUCAAGACCAAUUGGAGUUCUUUUUUGUCUCACUAGAGAGAAAAGGUACUUCAGGUCAUGGAUAAUAUGCUAAAUUAGUGAAAAUGGGUAAUUUUAACAAUCAUUGUCUGGAGCUGAACAGGAUGCCAAUAUUUAUUGAUGCAGCUUCCUUCUGUGUAAUAUUUUUGUAUUACUGAUGUACAUUU